UACUAGAGUAGCACUCGCAUAUCAAUAAGCGGAGGAAAAGAAACUAACAAGGAUUCCCCUAGUAACGGCGAGUGAAGCGGGAAGAGCUCAAAUUUGAAAUCUUAAAGGGUUUCCCUUUACGAAUUGUAGUUUAAAGAAGUGUUUUCUGUUGAGGUUUUGGUAAAAGUUCUUUGGAAUAGGACAUCAUAGAGGGUGAGAAUCCCGUAUUUGACCUUUACUUUCAACUUUGUGAUACACUUUCAAAGAGUCGGAUUGUUUGGGAAUGCAGUCCAAAAUGGGUGGUAAAUUUCAUCUAAAGCUAAAUAUUGGCGAGAGACCGAUAGCGAACAAGUACCGUGAGGGAAAGAUGAAAAGAACUUUGAAAAGAGAGUUAAACAGUACGUGAAAUUGUCAAAAGGGAAGCGUUUGACACCAGUGUUGUUUUUUCUGAAAAUCAAUUAAAGAACUGUUUAUACUAAGCUGUUUAGACUUUAUCAGCUAUCUGUUUAGUUUUGAGCUUUUCUUUAAUGCACUUUUCAGUUAACAAGUCAACAUCAAUUUCUUUUGCUGUAAAAAAGCUUGAGGAAGGUGGCUUGAGAUUCGUCUUAGGUGUUUAUAGCCUCUUGCCUAUGCAGUCGGGAGAGAUUGAGGUCUGCAGCGUAGAUCCUUCGGGGCUAAAUGCAUUUGUGCUAAGUUAUAGCAUUUUAUAGACAACUUGUUGACUAUGAUUUGUCUUGUAGCUUACCUCGCUUAUGUUAUUUUACCUACGCUUAGGAUGUUGAACUACUGAGACAUAGA
Molecule: ribosomal RNA, 777 nt
Filed under: uncultured Neocallimastigales
Lineage: Eukaryota; Fungi; Neocallimastigomycota; Neocallimastigomycetes; Neocallimastigales
Description: partial large subunit ribosomal RNA
Rfam family: Eukaryotic large subunit ribosomal RNA
Source: RNAcentral